CCUACGGGAGGCAGCAGUGGGGAAUAUUGCACAAUGGGGGAAACCCUGAUGCAGCGAAGCCGCGUGAGUGAAGAAGUUAUUCGUUAUGGAAAGCUCUAUCAGCAGGGAAGCAAAUGACGGUACCUGAGUCAGAAGCACCGGCUAAAUACGUACCAGCAGCCGCAGUAAUACGUAGGGGGCAACCGUUAUCCGGAUUUACUGGGGGUAAAGGGAGCGUAGACGGCAUUGCAAGUCUGGAGUGAGAGGCGGGGGCUCAACCCCCGGACUGCUCUGGAAACUGUACGGCUGGAGUGCAGGAGAGGUAAGUGGAAUUCGCAGUGUAGCGGUGAAAUGCGUAGAUAUUAGGAGGAACACCAGUGGCGAAGGCGGCUUACUGGACUGUAACUGACGUUGAGGCUCGAAAGCGUGGGUAGCAAACAGGAUUAGAUACCCGGGUAGUC
This 440-nucleotide ribosomal RNA is filed under the name uncultured bacterium. Its description in RNAcentral is "partial 16S ribosomal RNA". It matches the Rfam family "Bacterial small subunit ribosomal RNA", at positions 338 to 795 of the family's 1533-position model. The record is from RNAcentral.